UAGGGAAUCUUCCGCAAUGGGCGAAAGCCUGACCGAGCAACGCCGCGUGAGUGAUGAAGGUCUUCGGAUCGUAAAACUCUGUUAUUAGGGAAGAACAAAUGUGUAAGUAACUAUGCACGUCUUGACGGUACCUAAUCAGAAAGCCACGGCUAACUACGUGCCAGCAGCCGCGGUAAUACGUAGGUGGCAAGCGUUAUCCGGAAUUAUUGGGCGUAAAGCGCGCGUAGGCGGUUUUUUAAGUCUGAUGUGAAAGCCCACGGCUCAACCGUGGAGGGUCAUUGGAAACUGGAAAACUUGAGUGCAGAAGAGGAAAGUGGAAUUCCAUGUGUAGCGGUGGAAUGCGCAGAGAUAUGGAGGAACACCAGUGGCGAAGGCGACUUUCUGGUCUGUAACUGACGCUGAUGUGCGAAAGCGUGGGGAUCAAACAGG
Molecule: ribosomal RNA, 429 nt
Filed under: Actinomycetes bacterium
Lineage: Bacteria; Bacillati; Actinomycetota; Actinomycetes
Description: Actinobacteria bacterium partial 16S ribosomal RNA
Rfam family: Bacterial small subunit ribosomal RNA
Source: RNAcentral